GACGAACGCUGGCGGCGUGCUUAACACAUGCAAGUCGAACGAUGAAGCUGGAGCUUGCUCUGGCGGAUUAGUGGCGAACGGGUGAGUAACACGUGAGAAAUCUGCCCUUGACUCUGGGAUAACUGCGGGAAACUGUAGCUAAUACCGGAUACUUUCCCUGGUGGGCAUCCACUGGGGAAGAAAGAAUUUCGGUCAAGGAUGAUCUCGCGGCCUAUCAGCUUGUUGGUGAGGUAAUGGCUCACCAAGGCGACGACGGGUAGCCGGCCUGAGAGGGUGACCGGCCACACUGGGACUGAGAUACGGCCCAGACUCCUACGGGAGGCAGCAGUGGGGAAUAUUGCACAAUGGGCGCAAGCCUGAUGCAGCGACGCCGCGUGAGGGAUGACGGCCUUCGGGUUGUAAACCUCUUUCAGCACCGACGAAGCGCAAGCGACGGUAGGUGCAGAAGAAGGACCGGCCAACUACGUGCCAGCAGCCGCCGUAA
Molecule: ribosomal RNA, 484 nt
Filed under: uncultured bacterium
Lineage: Bacteria
Description: partial 16S ribosomal RNA
Rfam family: Bacterial small subunit ribosomal RNA
Source: RNAcentral